UCUAGAACUCGAGAUAUUGGCUGAAUAUUGAACAGUGUCUGGUUGCAGGACAGAUUCCAACUUCUUCGUUGUUGCUAGGAUUUGGACUUCCAGACAGCAGAAUUAAGUCUUUCACUCCCCAUGAAUAUUUUAGGCCUAUGUCUUAGCUUUCUAGC
This is a non-coding RNA of Populus trichocarpa (black cottonwood), 155 nucleotides long. The record is from Rfam. Lineage: Eukaryota; Viridiplantae; Streptophyta; Magnoliopsida; Malpighiales; Salicaceae.